CUACGGGCCGCUGCAGUGGGGAAUAUUGGGCAAUGGGCGCAAGCCUGACCCAGCAACGCCGCGUGAGGGAAGAAGGUUUUCGGAUUGUAAACCUCUGUCCUUGGGGACGAAUAAAAUGACGGUACCCAAGGAGGAAGCUCCGGCUAACUACGUGCCAGCAGCCGCGGUAAUACGUAGGGAGCAAGCGUUGUCCGGAAUUACUGGGCGUAAAGGGUGCGUAGGCGGCAUAUUAAGUCAGGUGUGAAAUUUUCGGGCUCAACCCGAAACCUGCAUCUGAAACUGAUAAGCUUGAGUAUGAGAGAGGAAAGUGGAAUUCCUAGUGUAGCGGUGAAAUGCGUAGAUAUUAGGAGGAACACCAGUGGCGAAGGCGACUUUCUGGCUCAUCACUGACGCUGAGGCACGAAAGCGUGGGUAGCAAACAGGAUUAGAUACCCUCGUAGUC
Molecule: ribosomal RNA, 442 nt
Filed under: uncultured bacterium
Lineage: Bacteria
Description: partial 16S ribosomal RNA
Rfam family: Bacterial small subunit ribosomal RNA
Source: RNAcentral